CGGGGUGCACGAAAAGAAGUGUCGUUACUGAAAUGUUCUAUACUAGGAUAGGGUAGGGCUCGACACUUGAAACUACUUCCUCACCAGCAAAGACAUCUGACUUGACUGCUAGAUCAGCUCUAUCUCUAUCAGCUCAAUGUAAUCGACCCUUACUUUUCAUCUACUACAGGAUAUGCUAAUAUAAGGUCAUUUCUUCUUUCGUAUCGAGCACUCUUCUCUUAGCUAAAUGGAACUCAAGUACGGAUAGAAGGAUUUAGUACGGAUUCUCUAACUGUUUAUUCUCUUACCGCAACACUCGCAUACAAAGAAAUUCUCCGAAAGCUUUAAAGGAGACUGCUCCGUUAGUGGGCAUGAGAUUCGAGCUAUAUUCUCUUCUUGAUAUGACUUAACUAGCACCACAUUAGCUUCAGCAGUUGAGAACUUUGAUUCGACUUCGGCUUCCUUUUCGGGAACUCCACUCUGUAUAUAGUCUGAGUCUACUCCUGAUUUCACCUGUUUUAGUCAACUCGAACAGAGCCAAUCACUUCUCUUACAGACACUGCUACUUGGAUCAGACAGACAAUAAAUUGACCCGAGCUCAGUUGUGGUAUACUUUCCCUUUGAUGAACCUCCUGUUAUGGUAUACUUUCCCUUUGAUGAACCUCCUGUUAUGGUAUACUUUCCCUUUUCCUCUAGUAUAUAAAUGGAGUUGUAAUAUUCCCAGUUUCUGUGCAAAACUCUAUGAGCUUCUUUCUAUGGUUCGGUUCCUUUCAACUUCACCGCUUAAGUUCACCUCUUCUUCUUAAUACGAUUACACUUGAACUAGGAUUACACUCGAAACAUAAAGACAGACAAUAAAACAGUCUGUAAACUUUCUCUUUAGCCGAGUCAACCAGUCAUUUCUCUCCGUUAGCGCUUUACCCCUGCGCCUCCAUUCUCUUCAACAAACACUUGAUUUCGUGCUUGCUU
RNAcentral lists this long non-coding RNA (948 nucleotides) under Musa acuminata (dwarf banana). RNAcentral's name for it is "long non-coding RNA (MACU_LNC010965)". Lineage: Eukaryota; Viridiplantae; Streptophyta; Magnoliopsida; Zingiberales; Musaceae. The record is from RNAcentral.